This 458-nucleotide ribosomal RNA is filed under the name uncultured organism. Its description in RNAcentral is "partial 16S ribosomal RNA". It matches the Rfam family "Bacterial small subunit ribosomal RNA", at positions 333 to 799 of the family's 1533-position model. The record is from RNAcentral.
ACACUCCUGCGGGAGGCAGCAGUGGGGAAUAUUGCACAAUGGGCGCAAGCCUGAUGCAGCGACGCCGCGUGGGGGAUGAAGGCCUUCGGGUUGUAAACUCCUUUCGCUAGGGACGAAGCUUUUUUGUGACGGUACCUAGAUAAGAAGCACCGGCUAACUACGUGCCAGCAGCCGCGGUAAUACGUAGGGUGCGAGCGUUGUCCGGAAUUACUGGGCGUAAAGGGCUCGUAGGUGGUUUGUCGCGUCGUCUGUGAAAUUCUGGGGCUUAACUCCGGGCGUGCAGGCGAUACGGGCAUAACUUGAGUGCUGUAGGGGUAACUGGAAUUCCUGGUGUAGCGGUGAAAUGCGCAGAUAUCAGGAGGAACACCGAUGGCGAAGGCAGGUUACUGGGCAGUUACUGACGCUGAGGAGCGAAAGCAUGGGUAGCGAACAGGAUUAGAUACCCGUGUAGUCCCAUG